RNAcentral lists this long non-coding RNA (1085 nucleotides) under Nicotiana benthamiana. Its description in RNAcentral is "long non-coding RNA (NBEN_LNC039585)". The record is from RNAcentral. Lineage: Eukaryota; Viridiplantae; Streptophyta; Magnoliopsida; Solanales; Solanaceae.
AGAUUUUCAAAUUCUACAACAUCAUAAUUGAUAGCAUUAUAUUGGCUAUCAUCUUCUUCAUCCUCUGACACUUCAUCAAUUAGGGUGGAUCGGCUUGAACUUGCUACCCCUUUUCCCUUGUACGUUGAACUUGAAGAACUCGCUCUAAGUCCAUAGAUGUUCUCCUCAACUCCAACGGCCAUAGAACGGUACCCCAAUCAAGAUCAUCUCCUUCAUACACUUGUUCAUCUUCAUGAUUUUGGGGGGAUCCAGUUAACCAUUCAUUUGCCUCAUCAAUAUUGUCCAACAAAAUUGGAUCAAUAGUAUCGUGAGCUUCAUAACAUCGCCUCAAUGUUCUAUUGUACUUAAUAUAAACUAGAUCAUUGAGACGCGAUAGCUCAAGCCUAUUCUUUUUCUUCAAGUGAAUCUGCGCAUUAAGUUAUUUAGAUUAAUUAGUAAGUAUUAAUAAUAAUAUAAUACAAUAUAGAAUAUAUUAAUAUAACAAAUGUACUUCUUACAUGCUCAAACACGCUCAUUUUUCUCUCGCAUCCAGAUGCACUACAAGUUAGGCUUAAUACUUUGAUGGCAAACUUUUGCAAGUUUGGAGUUUGACUUCCAAAUUGCUUCCACCAUUCAACUAUAGAAAAAUAUUUUAAAAUUUAAUUAAGUAUAAAUCAAAUAAAUUAAAUUAAAGUUAUAAGGAGAUCUAUAUUAAAGUUAUUUACCUGGCGACCUUUUGUCUCUGGCUCUAAUGGCAGCCGGUAAACCAAAUAGGUCAUCUGCUUGUUCGUACUUACCAAACUCCUCCCCUAUUAGAUCUAUCGUCGCUGAAUUAGGGAUCAACUUCUCAAGACAUGCAUAGUAUCUAAUCCAUACCUCUGAAGCGAAAGUUUCCUGACUAGUGUUCUUGUAAAAUAAUCCCGGGUUCAAAAGAUGGCCUGCUACAUGCAAAGGUCGAUGGAAUCGCUGAAUUAAGGAUCAACUUCUCAAGACAUGCAUGGUAUCCAACCCACACCUCUGGAGCCAAAGUUUCCUGACUAGUGCUUGUAAAAUAAUCCCGGGUUCAGAAGAUGGCCUGCUGCAUGCAAAGGUCGAUGGAGUUGCUU